GACGAACGCUGGCGGCGUGCCUAAUACAUGCAAGUUGAGCGCUGAAGGUUGGUACUUGUACCAACUGGAUGAGCAGCGCACGGGUGAGUAACGCGUGGGGAAUCUGCCUUUGAGCGGGGGACAACAUUUGGAAACGAAUGCUAAUACCGCAUAAAAACUUUAAACACAAGUUUUAAGUUUGAAAGAUGCCAUUGCAUCACUCAAAGAUGAUCCCGCGUUGUAUUAGCUAGUUGGUGAGGUAAAGGCUCACUAAGGCGAUGAUACAUAGCCGACCUGAUAGGGUGAUCGGCCACAUUGGGACUGAGACACGGCCCAAACUCCUACGGGAAGCAGCAGUAGGGAAUCUUCGGCCAUGGACGAAAGUCUGACCGAGCAACGCCGCGUGAGUGAAGAAGGUUUUCGGAUCGUAAAACUCGGUUGGUAGAGAAGAACGUUGGUGAGAGUGGAAAGCUCAUCAAGUGACGGUAACUACCCAGAAAGGGACGGCUAACUACGUG
RNAcentral lists this ribosomal RNA (497 nucleotides) under uncultured bacterium. RNAcentral's name for it is "partial 16S ribosomal RNA". It matches the Rfam family "Bacterial small subunit ribosomal RNA", at positions 28 to 507 of the family's 1533-position model. The record is from RNAcentral.